AGUCAUUGCUGUGCACUUGUGGUAAAGCACACCCAGAGCCAUAAAGCAUAGCACCACCAGCUAACUUCGGAUUGGUUCCUUGUCAUGAAGCAGGCAUCUGACCUCCUAGGGACCAAGGCAAGGGUUUCUCUGUGUAGUUCUGACUGUCCUGGAACUCACUCUGUAGACCAGGCUGGCCUCAGAUUCACUUAGAUCUGCCUGCCUCUGCCUCGAUGGAUGGGAGAUCCCCCCCAGCCACCACCCCCCCCAACCACACAACUACCUUCCCGACUGGAACCAUUAAAGACCAGCUUGUCAUUCUGUCAUUUUUUUCUUGGGUCCUUGCCAAGCUCCAGCCAAACAAUGUCUCUCUGUGGAGUGUAUUCAGUCAGUAACAGGCAAGAAUAGCCAAGGAGGGCAAAGGGCUAGUUCUACUGGCCCGUCCAUCCACCGAAGCCCACCACUUGGCCAUGCUCAGGAAGACAUUGCCCCCUCGUGGUUCCUCUUAUAACUGAGCGAAAAGCAGAUUGCAAACACAAUCAAUAAAUCAAAACACAAAGUUUCCGAUUAAUUGUAGCUCUUCUUCUGGACCUUUUCUCCCGCUGUUCCAACGACUCUUGGUUUAUUUCCUCCCAGGAGGUACCUUUGUUACUAUAGAGCGCCGUGGCAGUAUGACAGCAACUUAAAACAGUUUCUUUUAGAAACUUUCCCACAUCUCCAGAUGCCAAAAACAAAACAAAACAAAAAAAC
This 729-nucleotide long non-coding RNA is filed under the name Cricetulus griseus (Chinese hamster). Its description in RNAcentral is "lncRNA (ENSCGRG00015042492.1)". Lineage: Eukaryota; Metazoa; Chordata; Mammalia; Rodentia; Cricetidae. The record is from RNAcentral.